This 305-nucleotide ribosomal RNA is filed under the name uncultured bacterium. RNAcentral's name for it is "bacterial SSU rRNA". It matches the Rfam family "Bacterial small subunit ribosomal RNA", at positions 335 to 655 of the family's 1533-position model. The record is from RNAcentral.
AGACCUACGGGAGGCAGCAGUGGGGAAUAUUGGGCAAUGGGCGCAAGCCUGACCCAGCAACGCCGCGUGAAGGAAGAAGGCUUUCGGGUUGUAAACUUCUUUUAAGAGGGAAGAGUAGAAGACGGUACCUCUUGAAUAAGCCACGGCUAACUACGUGCCAGCAGCCGCGGUAAUACGUAGGGGGCAAGCGUUGUCCGGAAUUACUGGGCGUAAAGAGAGCGUAGGCGGCACUACAAGUCUCAUGUGAAAUACCCGGGCUUAACUUGGGGGUUGCAUGGGAAACUGUAGAGCUUGAGUACAGGAGA